This 910-nucleotide ribosomal RNA is filed under the name uncultured bacterium. RNAcentral's name for it is "bacterial SSU rRNA". It matches the Rfam family "Bacterial small subunit ribosomal RNA", at positions 33 to 934 of the family's 1533-position model. The record is from RNAcentral.
ACGCUGGCGGCAGGCUUAACACAUGCAAGUCGAACGGUAACAGGAAUUAGCUUGCUAAUUUGCUGACGAGUGGCGGACGGGUGAGUAAUGCUUGGGAAUCUGGCUUAUGGAGGGGGAUAACUACGGGAAACUGUAGCUAAUACCGCGUAAAAUCUUCGGAUUAAAGGGUGGGACUUUCGAGCCACCUGCCAUAAGAUGAGCCCAAGUGGGAUUAGGUAGUUGGUUAGGUAAAGGCUGACCAAGCCGACGAUCUCUAGCUGGUCUGAGAGGAUGACCAGCCACACUGGAACUGAGACACGGUCCAGACUCCUACGGGAGGCAGCAGUGGGGAAUAUUGCACAAUGGGGGGAACCCUGAUGCAGCCAUGCCGCGUGAAUGAAGAAGGCCUUCGGGUUGUAAAGUUCUUUCGGUGACGAGGAAGGUUGAUAGGUUAAUAGCCUAUCAAAUUGACGUUAAUCACAGAAGAAGCACCGGCUAACUCCGUGCCAGCAGCCGCGGUAAUACGGGGGGUGCGAGCGUUAAUCGGAAUAACUGGGCGUAAAGGGCACGCAGGUGGUGACUUAAGUGAGAUGUGAAAGCCCCGAGCUUAACUUGGGAAUUGCAUUUCAUACUGGGUCGCUAGAGUACUUUAGGGAGGGGUAGAAUUCCACGUGUAGCGGUGAAAUGCGUAGAGAUGUGGAGGAAUACCGAAGGCGAAGGCAGCCCCUUGGGAAUGUACUGACGCUCAUGUGCGAAAGCGUGGGGAGCAAACAGGAUUAGAUACCCUGGUAGUCCACGCUGUAAACGAUGUCGAUUUGGGGAUUGGGCUUUGAGCUUGGUGCCCGUAGCUAACGUGAUAAAUCGACCGCCUGGGGAGUACGGCCGCAAGGUUAAAACUCAAAUGAAUUGACGGGGGCCCGCACAAGCGGUG